RNAcentral lists this ribosomal RNA (466 nucleotides) under uncultured bacterium. Its description in RNAcentral is "partial 16S ribosomal RNA". It matches the Rfam family "Bacterial small subunit ribosomal RNA", at positions 28 to 507 of the family's 1533-position model. The record is from RNAcentral.
GGCGAACGCUGGCGGCGUGCUUAACACAUGCAAGUCGAACGGUAAGGCUCCAGCUUGCUGGGGUACACGAGUGGCGAACGGGUGAGUAACACGUGGGUGACCUGCCCUGCACUUCGGGAUAAGCCUGGGAAACUGGGUCUAAUACCGGAUAGGACCAUGGUGUGGAUACUGUGGUGGAAAGUUUUUUCGGUGUGGGAUGGGCCCGCGGCCUAUCAGCUUGUUGGUGGGGUAAUGGCCUACCAAGGCGGCGACGGGUAGCCGGCCUGAGAGGGUGGACGGCCACAUUGGGACUGAGACACGGCCCAGACUCCUACGGGAGGCAGCAGUGGGGAAUAUUGCACAAUGGGCGGAAGCCUGAUGCAGCGACGCCGCGUGGGGGAUGACGGCCUUCGGGUUGUAAACUCCUUUCACCAUCGACGAAGGGUUUCCGACGGUAGAUGGAGAAGAAGCACCGGCUAACUACGUG